CUCAGCUUGACGCAUUUAUUUGUUUGGCUAAAAAAAUGGUCUCUUUCCUGAUGCACAGAAUUAAAGGGAUGGUUUCCCCGGAAGGCUGACAUUUAAGAGGACAUAGUAAGGAUAUUUGAAGGGGUGGAAUUACUCAAAUGAAGCAUCACAUUAAGAUCUGACACAGCAACUUGAUUCACCAAAAUCUGAAUAUCAUCAGUCUUUGAUUCCAUAAGAGAAAGGAUAUUAGAAGGGGAGGAUUUGUAGACAGAAAUCUCAAACCAAACAUUAUGUCAAGAUCUGGCGGAGUCACUGCAUUCAUUGGGACCUGAAUAUCAUCAGCCUUUGAAUCUAAUGGAGAAAUGUUUGUCUGUUCUGAUUGCUUCAAAAGAUUGUAAAGUUCAAUGUGAGUGGAAAAGCACCAAGAUGCACACGCCCAUGUGAGAGUGUUCUAGUGCACUGACUGUGGAAACGAUAUUAACCAUUUGACAAAAACAUCAGACCAUUCACAGCAUGGAGAGACUGUACACGUGUUCUGUUUGUGGAUGAGUCCUCAACUGAUCGUUGAACCUGGAGAGUCACAAGGAUACCCACACCAUGGAGAAACAGGGGAAAUGUGGGGACUGUGGGAAGGGAUUCAGUCCCCUUCUGCACUCGAAAUUCAUCGACACAUUCACACUAGGGAGAGGCCAUUCACCUGCUUUCUGUGUGGGAAGGGAUUCACUUGGUCAUCCAACCUGCUGACACACCAGCGAGUUCACACCGGGGAGAGGCCAUUCACCUGCUGUGUAUGUGGGAAAGGAUUCACUCAGUUAUCCAGCCUGCUGAGACACCAGCGAGUUCACACUGAGGAGAGACCAUUCACCUGCUCUACUUGUGGGAAGGAAUUCAGUAAUUUAUACAACUUGUUGACACACCAGCGAGUUCACACUAGGGAGAGGCCAUUCAUGUGUUCUGACUGUGGGAAAGGAUUCACUCAGCCAACCUGUUGAGACACCAGCGAGUUCACAAGUAAUUACAGGGGCUGGAUUCUGCUGUUAUUACUACUGGUAUAAGAUAUUAGUUCGACCUCAGCUGGAGUAUUGUGUAUAGUUCUGGGCACCAUACUAUAGGAAGGAUGUGAAUGGAUUAGAGACAGUGCAGAAGAGGUUUACGGAUAUGGUUCCAGGGAUCAGAAAUUU
This is a long non-coding RNA of Carcharodon carcharias (great white shark), 1160 nucleotides long. RefSeq lists it as uncharacterized. The record is from RefSeq and is a predicted model, not a curated record. The transcript is spliced from 3 exons. Lineage: Eukaryota; Metazoa; Chordata; Chondrichthyes; Lamniformes; Lamnidae.